GGGGGCAACCCUGGCGGCGAGCGGCGAACGGGUGAGUAAUGCAUCGGAACGUAUCCUGGAGUGGGGGAUAACCCAGCGAAAGUUGGGCUAAUACCGCAUGAGCUCUGAGGAGGAAAGCGGGGGACCGAAAGGCCUCGCGCUGCAGGAGCGGCCGAUGUCCGAUUAGCUAGUUGGUGGGGUAAAGGCCUACCAAGGCGACGAUCGGUAGCUGGUCUGAGAGGAUGAUCAGCCACACUGGGACUGAGACACGGCCCAGACUCCUACGGGAGGCAGCAGUGGGGAAUUUUGGACAAUGGGGGCAACCCUGAUCCAGCCAUGCCGCGUGAGUGAAGAAGGCCUUCGGGUUGUAAAGCUCUUUCGGACGGAACGAAAUGGUUACGGUCAACACCCGUGACUGAUGACGGUACCGUAAGAAGAAGCACCGGCUAACUACGUGCCAGCAGCCGCGGUAAUACGUAGGGUGCGAGCGUUAAUCGGAAUUACUGGGCGUAAAGCGUGCGCAGGCGGUUUCGUAAGCUGGAGGUAAAAUCCCCGGGCUCAACCUGGGAAUGGCCUUCAGGACUGCGAGGCUAGAGUGCGGCAGAGGGAGGUGGAAUUCCACGUGUAGCAGUGAAAUGCGUAGAUAUGUGGAGGAACACCGAUGGCGAAGGUAGCCUCCUGGGCCAGCACUGACGCUCAUGCACGAAAGCGUGGGGAGCAAACAGGAUUAGAUACCCUGGUAGUCCACGCCCUAAACGAUGUCAACUAGGUGUUGGGGAAGGUGACUUCCUUAGUACCGCAGCUAACGCGUGAAGUUGACCGCCUGGGGAGUACGGCCGCAAGGUUAAAACUCAAAGGAAUUGACGGGGACCCGCACAAGCGGUGGAUGAUGUGGAUUAAUUCGAUGCAAUGUGAAAAACCUUACCUACCCUUGACAUGCCAGGAACUCUGCUGAGAGGUGGAGGUGCCCGAAAGGGAGCCUGGACACAGGUGCUGUAUGGCUGUCGUCAGCUCGUGUUGUGAGAUGUUGGGUUAAGUCCCGCAACGAGCGUAACCCUUGUCGUUAAUUGCCAUUAUUUAGUUGGGUAUUUUAGCGAGACUGCCGGUGAUAAACCGGAGGAAGGUGGGGAUGACGUCAAGUUUUCAUGGCCCUUAUGGGUAGGGGCUUCACACGUCAUACAAUGGCGCAUACAGAGGGUUGCGAAGCCGCGAGGUGAAGCUAAUCCCAGAAAGUGCGUCGUAGUCCGGAUUGCAGUCUGCAACUCGACUGCAUGAAGUCGGAAUCGCUAGUAAUCGCGGAUCAGCAUGUCGCGGUGAAUAUGUUCCCGGGUCUUGUACACACCGCCCGUCACACCAUGGGAGUGGGUUCCACCAGAAGCAGGUAGCCUAACCGUAAGGGGGGCGCCUACCACGGUGAGAUUCAUGACUGGGGUGAAGUCGAAAUAAGGUA
RNAcentral lists this ribosomal RNA (1429 nucleotides) under metagenome. RNAcentral's name for it is "bacterial SSU rRNA". It matches the Rfam family "Bacterial small subunit ribosomal RNA". The record is from RNAcentral.